Molecule: ribosomal RNA, 500 nt
Filed under: uncultured bacterium
Lineage: Bacteria
Description: partial 16S ribosomal RNA
Rfam family: Bacterial small subunit ribosomal RNA
Source: RNAcentral
AUUGAACGCUGGCGGCAUGCCUUACACAUGCAAGUCGAACGGCAGCACGGGAGCAAUCCUGGUGGCGAGUGGCGAACGGGUGAGUAAAGUAUCGGAACGUGCCCAGUCGUGGGGGAUAACGUAGCGAAAGUUACGCUAAUACCGCAUACGAUCUAUGGAUGAAAGCGGGGGAUCGCAAGACCUCGCGCGAUUGGAGCGGCCGAUAUACGAUUAGGUAGUUGGUGGGGUAAAGGCUCACCAAGCCGACGAUCUGUAGCUGGUCUGAGAGGACGACAGGCCACACUGGGACUGAGACACGGCCCAGAAUCCUGCGGGAGGCAGCAGUGGGGAAUUUUGGACAAUGGGCGAAAGCCUGAUCCAGCCAUGCCGCGUGCAGGAUGAAGGCCUUCGGGUUGUGAACUGCUUUUGUACGGAACGAAAAGGUUUGGCCUAAUAAGCUGAGCUCAUGACGGUACCGUAAGAAUAAGCACCGGCUAACUACGUGCCAGCCGCCGCAGUAA